Molecule: ribosomal RNA, 253 nt
Filed under: uncultured bacterium
Lineage: Bacteria
Description: partial 16S ribosomal RNA
Rfam family: Bacterial small subunit ribosomal RNA
Source: RNAcentral
UACGUAGGGACCAAGCGUUGUUCGGAUUUACUGGGCGUAAAGGGCGCGUAGGCGGCGUGUUAAGUCAGUUUUGAAAUCUCCAAGCUUAACUUGGAACGGUCAACUGAUACUGAUGUGCUAGAGUGCAGAAGGGGCAACCGGAAUUCUUGGUGUAGCGGUGAAAUGCGUAGAUAUCAAGAGGAACACCUGAGGUGAAGACGGGUUGCUGGGCUGACACUGACGCUGAGGCGCGAAAGCUAGGGUAGCAAACGGG